UACGAAGGGGGCUAGCGUUGCUCGGAAUUACUGGGCGUAAAGCGCGCGUAGGCGGAUCGUUAAGUCAGGGGUGAAAUCCUGGAGCUCAACUCCAGAACUGCCUUUGAUACUGAGGAUCUUGAGUUCGGGAGAGGUGAGUGGAACUGCGAGUGUAGAGGUGAAAUUCGUAGAUAUUCGCAAGAACACCAGUGGCGAAGGCGGCUCACUGGCCCGAUACUGACGCUGAGGCACGAAAGCGUGGGGAGCAAACAGG
This 253-nucleotide ribosomal RNA is filed under the name uncultured bacterium. Its description in RNAcentral is "partial 16S ribosomal RNA". It matches the Rfam family "Bacterial small subunit ribosomal RNA", at positions 524 to 776 of the family's 1533-position model. The record is from RNAcentral.